Photinus pyralis (common eastern firefly) is the source of this 949-nucleotide long non-coding RNA. RefSeq lists it as uncharacterized. Lineage: Eukaryota; Metazoa; Arthropoda; Insecta; Coleoptera; Lampyridae. The transcript is spliced from 2 exons. The record is from RefSeq and is a predicted model, not a curated record.
AUACAUUAAAUAUUUUUACUAAAUACAUCAAGCAAGAGACGGGAAAAUUCCCGCUAGACACUCAAAUAUAACCGAUACAGGUGAAAUAAUGCAGUCGACGCCACUGUCUCUUGCAUAAAAGUGAUAAUUCACAAAUGGGCCAAUAAAGGCCAGCUUUAUCUGUGCAUGUUUGUUGCUUUUCGCGUGUGGACCAGAUACUAACGUGAACAAAUUGCAGUAGGCAACUUUGGAUCUAAUGGAGAAGUACAAGAGCGCAAAAUGUCCCGUUUGUUGGAAAAUAUUUGCCGGUAAAAUAUUCCUGUGUGCCAGAGGGCAUAGCGUAUGCCAUUUCUGUUCCUCGGCAAUUCUGAAAUGCCCAACCUGUGACCAAGAAAUUACGACGGUACGCAAUUUAACAUUGGAGGCAAUCAUAAAAGAAUUGUGCCCUAAUUUAAAACCGAAGGACGUCUGCAUGUGUCCGUCCUCGCUAUUAUGUGAAACAUUCCAUGGAAAGAAACAGGAUCUAAUCGGUCACAUGCAAAAAUGUCACUCACGCGACUUGAUAAUAUCAGCGCAAAGAAUGGGCAUUAAAAUCACGAAGUCGCUCUGCUAUUCUAAAGCAGAAGAACAGUUUUUCAAAGUUAUCUACUGCAACCAGAAGUUUUUUAAACUGCAUGUUAAUGUUCAACAUACCAUGUUGAUGGUGUACUUUUCGGUGAGGAUUAUCAACGAAACCAUCCAAGGGAAAUUUGAAGUGAGUUCCCAAAAUCAAAUAAGAACCAACAGAUUCUCUGCGCCAAUUACAUCAUAUAAGCGCGGUGAUCCCGAUCUACAUCGAACAGUGCCUGUUCCCAGGAUGCUAAUAACUCAUAACAUUGAUAACCGCGCCAUGCUAGUUGUGUAUUUGAAUUUAAUUUUUUAACUGUAAUUUUCAAAUUGUCUUUUAAAUAAAUUAUACAUUUUUCAAAAA